RNAcentral lists this ribosomal RNA (934 nucleotides) under Stemphylium vesicarium. Its description in RNAcentral is "SSU rRNA". It matches the Rfam family "Eukaryotic small subunit ribosomal RNA", at positions 174 to 1127 of the family's 1831-position model. Lineage: Eukaryota; Fungi; Ascomycota; Dothideomycetes; Pleosporales; Pleosporaceae. The record is from RNAcentral.
AAAUCCCGACUUCGGAAGGGAUGUGUUUAUUAGAUAAAAAACCAAUGCCCUUCGGGGCUUUUUGGUGAUUCAUGAUAACUUUACGGAUCGCAUAGCCUUGCGCUGGCGACGGUUCAUUCAAAUUUCUGCCCUAUCAACUUUCGAUGGUAAGGUAUUGGCUUACCAUGGUUUCAACGGGUAACGGGGAAUUAGGGUUCGAUUCCGGAGAGGGAGNCUGAGAAACGGCUACCACAUCCAAGGAAGGCAGCAGGCGCGCAAAUUACCCAAUCCCGACACGGGGAGGUAGUGACAAUAAAUACUGAUACAGGGCUCUUUUGGGUCUUGUAAUUGGAAUGAGUACAAUUUAAACCUCUUAACGAGGAACAAUUGGAGGGCAAGUCUGGUGCCAGCAGCCGCGGUAAUUCCAGCUCCAAUAGCGUAUAUUAAAGUUGUUGCAGUUAAAAAGCUCGUAGUUGAAACUUGGGCCUGGCUGGCGGGUCCGCCUCACCGCGUGCACUCGUCCGGCCGGGCCUUCCUUCUGAAGAACCUCAUGCCCUUCACUGGGCGUGUUGGGGAAUCAGGACUUUUACUUUGAAAAAAUUAGAGUGUUCAAAGCAGGCCUUUGCUCGAAUACGUUAGCAUGGAAUAAUAAAAUAGGGCGUGCGUUUCUAUUUUGUUGGUUUCUAGAGACGCCGCAAUGAUUAACAGGAACAGUCGGGGGCAUCAGUAUUCAGUUGUCAGAGGUGAAAUUCUUGGAUUUACUGAAGACUAACUACUGCGAAAGCAUUUGCCAAGGAUGUUUUCAUUAAUCAGUGAACGAAAGUUAGGGGAUCGAAGACGAUCAGAUACCGUCGUAGUCUUAACCGUAAACUAUGCCGACUAGGGAUCGGGCGAUGUUCUUUUUCUGACUCGCUCGGCACCUUACGAGAAAUCAAAGUUUGGUCUGGGGAGUAGC